RNAcentral lists this ribosomal RNA (380 nucleotides) under uncultured eukaryote. RNAcentral describes it as "partial 18S ribosomal RNA". It matches the Rfam family "Eukaryotic small subunit ribosomal RNA", at positions 592 to 976 of the family's 1831-position model. The record is from RNAcentral.
CAAUAGCGUAUAUUAAAGUUGUUGCGGUUAAAAAGCUCGUAGUUGGAUUUCUGCCGAGGACGACCGGUCCGCCCUCCGGGUGAGUAUCUGGCUCGGCCUGGGCAUCUUCUUGGAGAACGUAGCUGCACUUGGCUGUGUGGUGCGGUAUUCAGGACUUUUACUUUGAGGAAAUUAGAGUGUUUCAAGCAGGCACACGCCUUGAAUACAUUAGCAUGGAAUAAUAAGAUAGGACCUCGGUUCUAUUUUGUUGGUUUCUAGAUCUGAGGUAAUGAUUAAUAGGGAUAGUUGGGGGCAUUCGUAUUUAACUGUCAGAGGUGAAAUUCUUGGAUUUGUUAAAGACGGACUACUGCGGAAGCAUUUGCCAAGGAUGUUUUCAUUGA